AAUACAGGAAGUGCUUGAUACUAAAAUUGGAAUGAUACAGAAAAGAUUAGCAUGGCCCCCGUGCAAAGAUAACAUGCAAAUUCAUGAAGUGCUCCAUAUUUUU
This is a small nuclear RNA of Mastomys coucha (southern multimammate mouse), 103 nucleotides long. The record is from RefSeq and is a predicted model, not a curated record. NCBI's taxonomy places the organism in Eukaryota, Metazoa, Chordata, Mammalia, Rodentia, Muridae.